GGAAGAGGACGGACCUAAGAUGGCGGCCUCCAGGGGGCUGGGAAUAGCCGCUCAUGUCGGCUAACGGAGCGGUGUGGGGCCGCGUGCGAAGCCGCCAAGAAGACGCUGGAGGGAGGCUGUUAGGAGGGACUCUGAGCUUCACACCUGUCUGCUGCCAUGGGUGCAGAGCCCUAGUCCUGAUGGCCCCUGGUGGCACAUAUCGAAUGCCUAGGGCAGAAAGGAAGUGGGAAUGGCGAAGAUGUGACAUUCCUCGGUGUUAGAUCCUGUUUUUUCUUAACAAGUUGAGGCGUGGGUAGAGCAGGAAUUGGUUUUCCAGCAUUGUGUCCGUAAACCUGAGUUAGAAUAAGAUGUAACGGAAGCCACGAUAAAGACUCGGUCAAAUCCUGCAGCCUGGGGCUUACUGUG
RNAcentral lists this long non-coding RNA (405 nucleotides) under Homo sapiens (human). Its description in RNAcentral is "HSALNT0246160". The record is from RNAcentral. Lineage: Eukaryota; Metazoa; Chordata; Mammalia; Primates; Hominidae.